Molecule: transfer RNA, 88 nt
Filed under: Pestalotiopsis fici W106-1
Lineage: Eukaryota; Fungi; Ascomycota; Sordariomycetes; Amphisphaeriales; Sporocadaceae
Rfam family: tRNA
About the family: Transfer RNA (tRNA) molecules are approximately 80 nucleotides in length. Their secondary structure includes four short double-helical elements and three loops (D, anti-codon, and T loops).
Source: Rfam by way of RNAcentral
GGGGAUGUGGUCUAGUGGUAUGGCGUUCCCUUCGCAUUCUACGAAUAUUGAUUGGGAAAGGUCCGGGGUUCAAUUCCCCGCUUCUCCA